GAUGAACGCUGGCGGCGUGCCUAAUACAUGCAAGUCGAGCGAACGGACGAGAAGCUUGCUUCUCUGAUGUUAGCGGCGGACGGGUGAGUAACACGUGGAUAACCUACCUAUAAGACUGGGAUAACUUCGGGAAACCGGAGCUAAUACCGGAUAAUAUUUUGAACCGCAUGGUUCAAAAGUGAAAGACGGUCUUGCUGUCACUUAUAGAUGGAUCCGCGCUGCAUUAGCUAGUUGGUAAGGUAACGGCUUACCAAGGCAACGAUGCAUAGCCGACCUGAGAGGGUGAUCGGCCACACUGGAACUGGGACACGGUCCAAACCCCUACGGGAGGCAGCAGUAGGGAAUCUUCCGCAAUGGGCGAAAGCCUGACGGAGCAACGCCGCGUGAGUGAUGAAGGUCUUCGGAUCGUAAAACUCUGUUAUUAGGGAAGAACAUAUGUGUAAGUAACAGUGCACAUCUUGACGGGACCUAAUCAGAAAGCCACGGCGAACUACGU
Molecule: ribosomal RNA, 496 nt
Filed under: uncultured bacterium
Lineage: Bacteria
Description: partial 16S ribosomal RNA
Rfam family: Bacterial small subunit ribosomal RNA
Source: RNAcentral